GGGUUGUGAGGUUAAGCGACUAAGCGUACACGGUGGAUGCCCUGGCAGUCAGAGGCGAUGAAGGACGUGCUAAUCUGCGAUAAGCGCCGGUAAGGUGAUAUGAACCGUUAUAACCGGCGAUUUCCGAAUGGGGAAACCCAGUGUGAUUCGUCACACUAUCAUUAACUGAAUCCAUAGGUUAAUGAGGCGAACCGGGGGAACUGAAACAUCUAAGUACCCCGAGGAAAAGAAAUCAACCGAGAUUCCCCCAGUAGCGGCGAGCGAACGGGGAGGAGCCCAGAGCCUGAAUCAGCAUGUGUGUUAGUGGAAGCGUCUGGAAAGGCGCGCGAUACAGGGUGACAGCCCCGUACACAAAAGCGCAUGUGCUGUGAGCUCGAUGAGUAGGGCGGGACACGUGGUAUCCUGUCUGAAUAUGGGGGGACCAUCCUCCAAGGCUAAAUACUCCUGACUGACCGAUAGUGAACCAGUACCGUGAGGGAAAGGCGAAAAGAACCCCGGCGAGGGGAGUGAAAAAGAACCUGAAACCGUGUACGUACAAGCAGUGGGAGCACCCUUCGGGG
RNAcentral lists this ribosomal RNA (560 nucleotides) under Salmonella enterica. Its description in RNAcentral is "partial 23S ribosomal RNA". It matches the Rfam family "Bacterial large subunit ribosomal RNA", at positions 1 to 591 of the family's 2925-position model. Lineage: Bacteria; Pseudomonadati; Pseudomonadota; Gammaproteobacteria; Enterobacterales; Enterobacteriaceae. The record is from RNAcentral. RNAcentral also lists the same sequence under 3 other names.